Long non-coding RNA from Thunnus maccoyii (southern bluefin tuna), 932 nucleotides. RefSeq lists it as uncharacterized. Lineage: Eukaryota; Metazoa; Chordata; Actinopteri; Scombriformes; Scombridae. The record is from RefSeq and is a predicted model, not a curated record. The transcript has 2 exons.
UUGAGGUUAAUGUGGUCGUUCUCCGUCUUCACGCCUUCCUGCAACAAACACAGCCGUCAUCAGCAGCGACAAACCGGUUUCACUGAAGGGCCAUGCCAGACUGCAAUAACGGUUCUCAGGAACUGGGUGACGCCUGACGUCCCUGCUUUCACAAUUAGCUGACAGAGUUAGGAAGUGUUUCUGCAUUAGAAAGCUUGUAAUAUAAGCUGUGUGAAUACGGCAGGAAAAUACUUCCUCAAGCUGUUGAAAUGAUGAGGUGGAUUUGUGCGUUUAUACUUUUCUUUCAGUGUUGUAGUGUUUCUUUUUUCCCUUUCCUUCCUGAAAAUUCUGCUUUGUUUCUGCGUUUGGGUGGAGAUGGGAAUUAUGGGACGUUGUGAAUUUGGAAAUGGAUUUAUGCAGAUGAAAUUUGAUCUUGUUAUAAUGCAAAAUAAAAAAAGGCAAGUCCCAAAAAACAUUUCUUAUUCAUUUAAUUUGGAAAUGUAUGGUCCAUAAUCUUGUGCACAAAAACACUUCACAUAAUAAUGUAAUUAUGUAAUUAUGUAAUCCAAGAUCCCACAACUCUGCUCUUAAAGAAAAAGAAUGUUCUGGAACAAUACAGACAUUUAUUAACCAUGUAAAAAUGUGUUACAUGCAUGUUACAAAUGAACUUUUGAUAUAAAAAUAAAUGUUGUAAUAUAGACAUCGGUAAAAUGGUGUGUGUUUCAAACACAGUAUGAAAACAAAACAGCUGGUUAUAAAAGAAGCAACACAAACACUGAUCUGCUGUGGAGAUGCAGAACUUUUACAGUACUGCAUUUCAUGCAGAAUUAAUUCAUGUAGGAGUGUUUGCAUGUCAUGGUGGAUAACAUGUUUUGACAGGUUUGCCCUUACAUCUAGUUUCCAUUACAGGUUAACUGAGUAGAUUUUACUCAAGUGAUUUGCAUUAAAAUUAA